RNAcentral lists this microRNA precursor (103 nucleotides) under Lotus japonicus. Its description in RNAcentral is "miR11153 stem-loop (lja-MIR11153)". Lineage: Eukaryota; Viridiplantae; Streptophyta; Magnoliopsida; Fabales; Fabaceae. The record is from miRBase by way of RNAcentral.
UGGUAACUUUUCCUAUCGGUAAGUUUCUGACAGCCUUGUCUAUCUGUAAUUUACCUAUGACUUUAAGUGUUGUCGGUAACUUUCACCGAUAAAGAGUUUACCG